Molecule: ribosomal RNA, 449 nt
Filed under: uncultured bacterium
Lineage: Bacteria
Description: partial 16S ribosomal RNA
Rfam family: Bacterial small subunit ribosomal RNA
Source: RNAcentral
AGCGAACGCUGGCGGCAGGCUUAACACAUGCAAGUCGAACGGGCACUUCGGUGCUAGUGGCAGACGGGUGAGUAACACGUGGGAACGUACCUUUCGGUUCGGAAUAAUACAGGGAAACUUGUACUAAUACCGGAUACGCCCUUCGGGGGAAAGAUUUAUCGCCGAUAGAUCGGCCCGCGUCUGAUUAGCUAGUUGGUGAGGUAAUGGCUCACCAAGGCGACGAUCAGUAGCUGGUCUGAGAGGAUGAUCAGCCACACUGGGACUGAGACACGGCCCCGUCUCCUCCGGGAGGCAGCAGUGGGGAAUAUUGGACAAUGGGCGAAAGCCUGAUCCAGCCAUGCCGCGUGAGUGAUGAAGGCCUUAGGGUUGUAAAGCUCUUUUGUCCGGGAAGAUAAUGACUGUACCGGAAGAAUAAGCCCCGGCUAACUUCGUGCCAGCCGCCGCAGUAA